This is a non-coding RNA of Equus quagga, 438 nucleotides long. Lineage: Eukaryota; Metazoa; Chordata; Mammalia; Perissodactyla; Equidae. The record is from the annotation of a RefSeq genome assembly.
AUGAGGAUGGAAGCUAGAGGAACAUUUCCUACACUUGGAAACAACCACAGCCAUUUUGCAGUGACCCUCACCUGUGCCUAUUUCUCUUUCUCAACAGGGGUGGAAGCUCAGAUGAAGGUGGAGCAGAGUCCUGGGGUCCUUAUCCUCCAGGAGGGGAGAAAUUCCCCUCUGAUGUGCAAUUAUUCUGCCUCCAUGACUGGUAUGCAGUUGUUCCAACAAAAUCCUGGAGGAUGCCUCGUAUCCUUAUUUUACAUAGCUUCUGGAAUGCAUCAAAAAGGAAUAUUAAAACCCACAGUCAAUACCAAGGACCGUUAUAGCCACCUCUACAUCAGAGACUCUCAGCGUUGGGACGCAGCUAUUUACUUCUGUGCGGUGGAGCACCGUGCUCUCCAGACACCUACAGCCUGUGCAGAGACCAUAGCUGAAGACCUAACCUAA